Molecule: ribosomal RNA, 362 nt
Filed under: Philantomba monticola (Blue duiker)
Lineage: Eukaryota; Metazoa; Chordata; Mammalia; Artiodactyla; Bovidae
Description: partial 12S small subunit ribosomal RNA
Rfam family: Bacterial small subunit ribosomal RNA
Source: RNAcentral
UCAGCCCUAAACACAAAUAAUUUUAAAAACAAAAUUAUUCGCCAGAGUACUACCGGCAACAGCCUAAAACUCAAAGGACUUGGCGGUGCUUUAUACCCUUCUAGAGGAGCCUGUUCUAUAAUCGAUAAACCCCGAUAGACCUCACCAAUUCUUGCUAAUACAGUCUAUAUACCGCCAUCUUCAGCAAACCCUAAAAAGGAACAAAAGUAAGCGCAAUCAUAACACAUAAAAACGUUAGGUCAAGGUGUAACCUAUGAAAUGGGAAGAAAUGGGCUACAUUUUCUACUUCAAGAAAACCCACAUACGAAAGUUAUUAUGAAACUAAUAACCAAAGGAGGAUUUAGUAGUAAACUAAGAAUAGA